Paramuricea clavata is the source of this 296-nucleotide non-coding RNA. The record is from the annotation of a GenBank genome assembly. NCBI's taxonomy places the organism in Eukaryota, Metazoa, Cnidaria, Anthozoa, Malacalcyonacea, Plexauridae.
CCCCCUGUUCCGCCGCCCCUGUUCCUUUCUAUUUAUGAUUGGUUAGUUGCACAAACAACAAAGGUGAUUGGUGCAUUCAAACUAUUCAACAGGAAGUUUACAAUUAUACUAGGAAGUGUAUGAAUAUUUCGAGGAACUUGAUGAAAUGAAUUGGUCAGCCCGAGGUAAUGUAUUGAAUCAAUAUUUGAGGAACACUUCAAUUGGAACGACAGUAAUGGUAGUCAAAUCUGAACCUAUAUAAUGUCAAUAUACUGGAAAAGUAUCAAAUUAAAUUUUAAUUGUCAAUGUUGUGGAAA